RNAcentral lists this ribosomal RNA (133 nucleotides) under uncultured bacterium. RNAcentral's name for it is "partial 16S ribosomal RNA". The record is from RNAcentral.
GGUACCGUCAAAUACCCAUCCUAUUCGUAUAGGUAACUUUCGUCCCUACUUACAGGGGUUUACACUCCAUAAAGCUUCAUCCCCCACGCGGCGUUGCUGCGUCAGGCUUUCGCCCAUUGCGCAAUAUUCCUCA